Molecule: ribosomal RNA, 301 nt
Filed under: uncultured bacterium
Lineage: Bacteria
Description: partial 16S ribosomal RNA
Rfam family: Bacterial small subunit ribosomal RNA
Source: RNAcentral
CAGUAGCCACGGGAAUACGAAGGGGGCUAGCGUUGUUCGGAUUUACUGGGCGUAAAGGGCGCGUAGGCAGACUGAUAAGUCAGGGGUGAAAUCCCAAGGCUCAACCUUGGAACUGCCUUUGAUACUGUUUGUCUUGAGUUCGAGAGAGGUAAGUGGAACUGCGAGUGUAGAGGUGAAAUUCGUAGAUAUUCGCAAGAACACCAGUGGCGAAGGCGGCUUACUGGCUCGAAACUGACGCUGAGGCGCGAAAGCGUGGGGAGCAAACAGGAUUAGAUACCCGAGUAGUCCCUGUCUCUUAUAU